RNAcentral lists this ribosomal RNA (292 nucleotides) under uncultured bacterium. RNAcentral describes it as "partial 16S ribosomal RNA". It matches the Rfam family "Bacterial small subunit ribosomal RNA", at positions 505 to 796 of the family's 1533-position model. The record is from RNAcentral.
GUGUCAGCCGCCGCGGUAAUACGGAGGGUGCAAGCGUUAUUCGGAAUUACUGGGCGUAAAGCGCGUGCAGGCGGGUAUGCAAGUCUGAUGUGAAAGCCCCGGGCUCAACCUGGGAAGUGCAUUGGAAACUGCAUAUCUUGAGUGCUGGAGAGGAAGGGGGAAUUCCCGGUGUAGAGGUGAAAUUCGUAGAGAUCGGGAGGAAUACCAGUGGCGAAGGCGCCCUUCUGGACGGCAACUGACGCUGAGACGCGAAAGCGUGGGGAGCAAACAGGAUUAGAUACCCCUGUAGUCC